AAGUCGUAACAAGGUUUCCGUAGGUGAACCUGCGGAAGGAUCAUUAGUGAAUUAAACAUCCGGGACGUUCGCCCUCACGGCAGCGUCUUGGUAUCACAUCCAUAACACCUGUGAACUGUAAGAUGUUGGUUUUCGAACCUCAUCUGCCCUUUUAUAAACAACGUAGUAACAAAAGUAGUAUUAUUAUAACCUAAUAAAA
Molecule: unclassified non-coding RNA, 199 nt
Filed under: plant metagenome
Description: partial contains small subunit ribosomal RNA and internal transcribed spacer 1
Rfam family: Eukaryotic small subunit ribosomal RNA (bases 1-46)
Source: RNAcentral